Molecule: small nucleolar RNA, 130 nt
Organism: Mastomys coucha (southern multimammate mouse)
Lineage: Eukaryota; Metazoa; Chordata; Mammalia; Rodentia; Muridae
Product: small nucleolar RNA SNORA17
Exons: 1
Source: RefSeq, a predicted model, not a curated record
UCUGCACCUGAAAGCAGCAAGUAUGCCUGCUGUGUUUCAUGCAUGCUAGUAGUUGUCAACAAAAAGAGAAGCUAAGUCUAGAGUCAGUGUUUUAACCUAUAAACAUCUGAAUGGUUAGCAGUCCAAUAUU